GUAAUGUCUGGGAAACUGCCUGAUGGAGGGGGAUAACUACUGGAAACGGUGGCUAAUACCGCAUAACGUCGCAAGACCAAAGAGGGGGACCUUCGGGCCUCUUGCCAUCAGAUGUGCCCAGAUGGGAUUAGCUAGUUGGUGAGGUAACGGCUCACCAAGGCGACGAUCCCUAGCUGGUCUGAGAGGAUGACCAGCCACACUGGAACUGAGACACGGUCCAGACUCCUACGGGAGGCAGCAGUGGGGAAUAUUGCACAAUGGGCGCAAGCCUGAUGCAGCCAUGCCGCGUGUAUGAAGAAGGCCUUCGGGUUGUAAAGUACUUUCAGCGGGGAGGAAGGUGUUGUGGUUAAUAACCGCAGCAAUUGACGUUACCCGCAGAAGAAGCACCGGCUAACUCCGUGCCAGCAGCCGCGGUAAUACGGAGGGUGCAAGCGUUAAUCGGAAUUACUGGGCGUAAAGCGCACGCAGGCGGUCUGUCAAGUCGGAUGUGAAAUCCCCGGGCUCAACCUGGGAACUGCAUUCGAAACUGGCAGG
This 534-nucleotide ribosomal RNA is filed under the name Salmonella enterica. Its description in RNAcentral is "bacterial SSU rRNA". It matches the Rfam family "Bacterial small subunit ribosomal RNA", at positions 110 to 640 of the family's 1533-position model. Lineage: Bacteria; Pseudomonadati; Pseudomonadota; Gammaproteobacteria; Enterobacterales; Enterobacteriaceae. RNAcentral also lists the same sequence under 1 other name. The record is from RNAcentral.